Neltuma alba is the source of this 1862-nucleotide RNA transcript. RefSeq lists it as uncharacterized. The record is from RefSeq and is a predicted model, not a curated record. The transcript is spliced from 11 exons. Lineage: Eukaryota; Viridiplantae; Streptophyta; Magnoliopsida; Fabales; Fabaceae.
GAGGGCAUUUUUGGUUCAAAAGUCCAAACCCUGCAACAACCUCUCCCAUCUUCGAAUUCAUCGAAAAACCUAAAUCCCCACCUCCAUCAAACAGGAAGCUGAAAUCUUUCUCGUUUGCGGGGAGGAGGGAAGAAGGUGGUUAUUACGUAUGUCGCAGGUUAACGGGCUCAGCAAUGCGGUUGGUCCCGAUUUCCAUCUGCCCGACGAGAUACUAUCGGUGAUACCCACCGACCCUUAUGAGCAGCUCGAUCUGGCUCGCAAGAUUACCUCGAUGGCGAUCGCUUCGCGGGUUUCGAAGCUCGAGUUGGAAAUGGGUCGGGUCAAAGAGAGGCUUUAUGAGAAGGACCGAAUAAUAUUCGCGCUCGAGGAGAAGGUCUCCGGUCUUAAUCAUGCAUGCCAGGAAGCUGAGUCCAGAUUGAAGGUCGCUCUCGAUGAGAAUAUAAAGCUUACACAGGAGAGGGAGCAAUUGGCAGUGACAGCAAAAAAGCUCAGUCGAGACUUAUCAAAGUUGGAAGCAUUUAAGAGACAGCUGAUGCAGUCUUUAAAUGAUGAUAAUCAAUCUACUGAAACUGUUGAUAUUGGAACUUGUGACCAGUCUGUUCCAAAGGCAUAUCCUGAUAAGGAUGAAAAUGGCAGUGGCUAUGCGGCACAUCAUUCAUAUAAUAGCUCUACUACUGUGGGUACCACUAUUGAUGAAGGUUCAAGAUAUGCUGGAAAUAGAUUUUCUAUAACUCCUUAUAUCACACCACGUCUUACUCCACAAGGAACUCCAAAAGUGAUCUCAACAGCUGGAUCUCCGAGAGGGUAUUCUGCAGCUGGAUCUCCUAAGCAAACUUCUGGCGCCACUUCUCCCACUAAGCUUCCAUAUGAAGGACGGCAAUCACUAUCUUCAUGGUAUCCAUCAAGUCAGCAGUCGUCUGCAGCAAACUCUCCUCCUCGUGCACGAUCUCUUUCAGGCCGUACUCCAAGAAUUGAUGGAAAGGAGUUUUUCCGCCAAGCUAGGAGUCGCCUUUCCUAUGAGCAGUUUAGUGCAUUUCUUGCUAACAUCAAGGAAUUGAAUGCUCAGAAGCAAACACGAGAGGAAACUUUAAGAAAAGCAGAAGAGAUAUUUGGGACAGACAACAAAGAUCUUUUCCUAUCUUUUCAAGGAUUGCUCGGUCGCAAUGCACACUAGUACUGAAAGCAUCAUUACCUUCAUUUUUAUAUAUUCAAGUUGAUUUUCAUAGACUUUUUGUGAGUAACAUUUUUCUACAUUUCUGGUGCAUAUUUAUUGCCUACAUGGGAGCUUAUGGAUCAACCUUGACUUCCAGUGGAUGUUCUAUGACCUGCUUCUUACUGUGAUCAGAAUCCAAGAUAGCAUUGAUCUGAGUCAUGAAUUUGCGAUGACUGUAUGUUUCAUUCGUCUAGGCUUCAUUGUUGAAUGCUAUGUAGAUAUAUCAUCUGCCGCAUGACAUGCUCACUGCUUAGCAGGCUAAACUGCUAUUUGACUGUUUUCAAAAUGUACGUGAAGGGAAACGCUCUUGGUUCAAUCCGUAAACUUUCUUUUCCUUCUAUUUGGUGGCCAAUUGACGAGAGUAUUGUCUUCCAUUUGUCAUGGCUGAAUCUGAGUGUGCAGUAAAAUUGCAUAGCCUACAAGAUUCAGGCGUUAAAUGUUGCUGAUCUUGUGCUUCGGAAUCCAUAGUUGUCAUGACUGGAAGUUCUUCUGUCUUCCAAAAAUAGGUUGACCAAACUACUUACAACUAAGACUUUAGCAUGUCAUGCACACUUUCUGGUACAGAGUGUUACAUGAUAUGUAUGAUCGUUUGAUGUAUUAUCUUUUGAUAGAUUGAAUCUAAGAAUCUAAUGAAGUGUGGUUUCUCUUA